AUGCGGUUUCACAUGCUUAGAACACUAACACCAAGGGUUUCGAGAUUCAAUAUUACCAUACUAUGCAGUUCCAUCACAUACAUCUAAAAAUAUGUGUCUACAUGAAACCUCAAAGAUGCAUCUCUUUCAGAAAAUAAUAAUAUUUAUCAUACAUUCAAACACCAAAAAACAGAGAUAAUAAGUAUUUUAAACACAUAAUGUAAUGUUCCACAGUCAAAGUAAAAUCAACCUUUUCUCAAUGCAUGAUACAAAAUUCCAGGAUGUCAUUCACAUGUUUAAAACAAUCAGCAGAGGUUUAGAGCCUAACACAAAACAAAUACUUUCAAGAUUUAACGAGUUUCUACAUGAGCAUAUUGUGUGUUCUCAGUUUCAAGAUCAAAUACUAUAGAAGUUACACAUAUGUCAAAAUAAAUAUCCAUAAGAGACUCUAAUAUGCAUACAUUAUAUAGGAUAAGAGACCUUAUGAUACAAAAGCAUUGAAACUUGGAGAAUAAAAUAAUUAAAACAAUACCUUAUGCUCAUGUAGAAACGCAAACACUUUUUAUGGUCUUGAAACUGAGAAAACACACAAUAUGCUCAUGUAAAGAAGAAAGCACAAUAUACACUUAACUGGAAAGCAUAUCUGAAAGAAGAAAGCACAUUUAUCCACAAAUAAAUCAUUUUAACAAAAAAAAUAAAAAGUAAUAAUGAUGAAUAGUGUCCCUUUCUAUACCUUAGAAAGACAAAAUUACGAGCUAAUAAAACAGAAAAAUGUUCUAUCGUAUGUAUGUGCAUCAAGUUCCAUAACCUAAGAGCACCUUAAGAGGAUUAGAGCUAUUUUGUUCAACUGCUCUCUAAUAUGAUGCUCAAGACAACUCACAUGUAUCAUACUACCAUUACUUCAACAUACAACAACAGAGAGCACAUUUAAUGAAGAUAAUUGACAUAUGCCAAGCAGAGUAUUACUCACAGAGU
Molecule: long non-coding RNA, 954 nt
Filed under: Capsella grandiflora
Lineage: Eukaryota; Viridiplantae; Streptophyta; Magnoliopsida; Brassicales; Brassicaceae
Description: long non-coding RNA (CGRA_LNC000521)
Source: RNAcentral